ACUCAAAUGAAUUGACGGGGGCCCGCACAAGCGGUGGAGCAUGUGGUUUAAUUCGAUGCAACGCGAAGAACCUUACCUACUCUUGACAUCCUCGGAAGGCUCUGUAAUUGGAGCUGUGCCUUCGGGAACCGAGUGACAGGUGCUGCAUGGCUGUCGUCAGCUCGUGUCGUGAGAUGUUGGGUUAAGUCCCGUAACGAGCGCAACCCUUGUCCUUAGUUACCAGCACGUUAUGGUGGGGACUCUAAGGAGACUGCCGGUGAUAAACCGGAGGAAGGUGGGGAUGACGUCAAGUCAUCAUGGCCUUUAUGAGUAGGGCUACACACGUGCUACAAUGGUCGGUACAAAGAGAAGCGAAGCGGCGACGUGAAGCCAAUCUCGAAAAGCCGAUCGUAGUCCGGAUUGCAGUCUGCAACUCGACUGCAUGAAGUUGGAAUCGCUAGUAAUCGCAAAUCAGAAUGUUGCGGUGAAUACGUUCCCGGGCCUUGUACACACCGCCCGU
Molecule: ribosomal RNA, 499 nt
Filed under: uncultured bacterium
Lineage: Bacteria
Description: partial 16S ribosomal RNA
Rfam family: Bacterial small subunit ribosomal RNA
Source: RNAcentral